This 26-nucleotide non-coding RNA is filed under the name Homo sapiens (human). The record is from RNAcentral. Lineage: Eukaryota; Metazoa; Chordata; Mammalia; Primates; Hominidae.
CAGGAGCACUGCAAGGGAAUGAUUGC